This 333-nucleotide ribosomal RNA is filed under the name uncultured bacterium. RNAcentral's name for it is "bacterial SSU rRNA". It matches the Rfam family "Bacterial small subunit ribosomal RNA", at positions 162 to 507 of the family's 1533-position model. The record is from RNAcentral.
GCUAAUACCGCAUAAGCGCACAGCUUCGCAUGAAGCAGUGUGAAAAACUCCGGUGGUAUAAGAUGGACCCGCGUCUGAUUAGCUUGUUGGUGAGGUUAACGGCCCACCAAGGCGACGAUCGGUAGCUGGUCUGAGAGGACGACCCAGCCANACUGGGACUGAGACACGGUCCAGACUCCUACGGGAGGCAGCAGUAGGGAAUAUUUGGGCAAUGGGCGCAAGCCUGACCCAGCAACGCCGCGUGAGGGAAGAAGGUUUUCGGAUUGUAAACCUCUGUCCUAUGUGACGAAGGAAGUGACGGUAGCAUAGGAGGAAGCCCCGGCUAACUACGUG